GUGCCAGCCGCCGCGGUAAUACGAGGGGUGCAAGCGUUGCUCGGAAUCAUUGGGCGUAAAGCGAGCGCGGAUGGUCUUGUAAGUCAGGAGUGAAAGCCCUGGGCUCAACCCAGGAAGUGCUUUUGAUACUGCGAGACUUGAAUGUGGGAGAGGGUGCUAGAAUACCUAGUGUAGUGGUGAAAUACGUAGAUAUUAGGUGGAACACCGGUGGGGAAGCCGGGUGCCUGGCCCAACAUUGACAUUUAGGCUCGAAAGCGUGGGGAUCAAACAGGAUUAGAAACCCUGGUAGUCC
This 292-nucleotide ribosomal RNA is filed under the name uncultured bacterium. RNAcentral describes it as "partial 16S ribosomal RNA". It matches the Rfam family "Bacterial small subunit ribosomal RNA", at positions 505 to 796 of the family's 1533-position model. The record is from RNAcentral.